UACAGAGGGUGCAAGCGUUAAUCGGAAUUACUGGGCGUAAAGCGUGCGUAGACGGUCUCGUAAGUCGGGUGUGAAAGCCCCGGGCUCAACCUGGGAAUUGCAUUCGAAACUGCGAGGCUAGGGUGCGGAAGAGGGAAGCGGAAUUUCGGGUGUAGCGGUGAAAUGCGUAGAUAUCCGAAGGAACAUCAGUGGCGAAAGCGGCUUCCUGGUCCAGCACCGACGUUCAGGCACGAAAGCGUGGGGAGCAAACAGG
RNAcentral lists this ribosomal RNA (253 nucleotides) under uncultured bacterium. Its description in RNAcentral is "partial 16S ribosomal RNA". It matches the Rfam family "Bacterial small subunit ribosomal RNA", at positions 524 to 776 of the family's 1533-position model. The record is from RNAcentral.